CCUACGGGUGGCAGCAGUGAGGAAUAUUGGUCAAUGGACGAAAGUCUGAACCAGCCAAGUAGCGUGAAGGAUGACUGCCCUAUGGGUUGUAAACUUCUUUUAUAUGGGGAUAAAACGAUCCUCGUGUGGGUUUUUGUGUGUACCAUAUGAAUAAGGAUCGGCUAACUCCGUGCCAGCAGCCGCGGUAAUACGGAGGAUCCGAGCGUUAUCCGGAUUUAUUGGGUUUAAAGGGAGCGUAGGUGGAUUGUUAAGUCAGUGGUGAAAGUUUGCGGCUCAACCGUAAAAGUGCAGUUGAAACUGGCAGUCUUGAGUACAGUAGAGGUGGGCGGAAUUCGUGGUGUAGCGGUGAAAUGCUUAGAUAUCGCGAAGAACUCCGAUUGCGAAGGCAGUUCACUGGACUGCAACUGACACUGAGGCUCGAAAGUGUGGGUAUCAAACAGGAUUAGAUACUCGGGUAGUC
RNAcentral lists this ribosomal RNA (460 nucleotides) under uncultured bacterium. Its description in RNAcentral is "partial 16S ribosomal RNA". It matches the Rfam family "Bacterial small subunit ribosomal RNA", at positions 338 to 795 of the family's 1533-position model. The record is from RNAcentral.